AAGGCUAGGUGGGCCUGGCGACGGUUGUCCAGGUUCAAGUGCGUAGGCUGAGUGUUUAGGUAAAUCCGGACACUCUUAAGGCUGAGACACGACGUCGAGCUACUACGGUAGUGAAGUCAUUGAUGCCAUGCUUCCAGGAAAAGCCUCUAAGCUUCAGAUUGUAAGGAAUCGUACCCCAAACCGACACAGGUGGUCGGGUAGAGAAUACCAAGGCGCUUGAGAGAACUCGGGUGAAGGAACUAGGCAAAAUGGUACCGUAACUUCGGGAGAAGGUACGCUCUUGAUGGUGAAGUCCCUUGCGGAUGGAGCUGACGAGAGUCGCAGAUACCAGGUGGCUGCAACUGUUUAUUAAAAACACAGCACUGUGCAAAAUCGUAAGAUGACGUAUACGGUGUGACGCCUGCCCGGUGCCGGAAGGUUAAUUGAUGGGGUUAGCGUAAGCGAAGCUCUUGAUCGAAGCCCCGGUAAACGGCGGCCGUAACUAUAACGGUCCUAAGGUAGCGAAAUUCCUUGUCGGGUAAGUUCCGACCUGCACGAAUGGCGUAAUGAUGGCCACGCUGUCUCCACCCGAGACUCAGUGAAAUUGAAAUCGCUGUGAAGAUGCAGUGUACCCGCGGCUAGACGGAAAGACCCCGUGAACCUUUACUACAGCUUGGCACUGAACAUUGAACCUACAUGUGUAGGAUAGGUGGGAGGCUUUGAAGACGUGACGCCAGUUGCGUUGGAGCCGUCCUUGAAAUACCACCCUUGUAUGUUUGAUGUUCUAACGUUGGCCCCUAAUCGGGGUUGCGGACAGUGCCUGGUGGGUAGUUUGACUGGGGCGGUCUCCUCCCAAAGAGUAACGGAGGAGCACGAAGGUGGGCUAAUCACGGUUGGACAUCGUGAGGUUAGUGCAAUGGCAUAAGCCCGCUUAACUGCGAGAAUGACGGUUCGAGCAGGUGCGAAAGCAGGUCAUAGUGAUCCGGUGGUUCUGAAUGGAAGGGCCAUCGCUCAACGGAUAAAAGGUACUCCGGGGAUAACAGGCUGAUACCGCCCAAGAGUUCAUAUCGACGGCGGUGUUUGGCACCUCGAUGUCGGCUCAUCACAUCCUGGGGCUGAAGUCGGUCCCAAGGGUAUGGCUGUUCGCCAUUUAAAGUGGUACGCGAGCUGGGUUUAGAACGUCGUGAGACAGUUCGGUCCCUAUCUGCCGUGGGCGUUGGAAGAUUGAAGGGGGCUGCUCCUAGUACGAGAGGACCGGAGUGGACGAACCUCUGGUGUUCGGGUUGUGUCGCCAGACGCAUUGCCCGGUAGCUAAGUUCGGAAUCGAUAACCGCUGAAAGCAUCUAAGCGGGAAGCGAGCCCUGAGAUGAGUCUUCCCUGAUACUUUAAGUAUCCUGAAGGGUUGUUCGAGACUAGAACGUUGAUAGGCAGGGUGUGUAAGCGCUGUGAGGCGUUGAGCUAACCUGUACUAAUUGCCCGUGAGGCUUAACCAUACAACACCCAAAGGGUUUUG
Molecule: ribosomal RNA, 1492 nt
Filed under: Vibrio vulnificus
Lineage: Bacteria; Pseudomonadati; Pseudomonadota; Gammaproteobacteria; Vibrionales; Vibrionaceae
Description: partial 23S ribosomal RNA
Rfam family: Bacterial large subunit ribosomal RNA
Source: RNAcentral